GGGCGUGUAGCUCAGCGGUAGAGCGCGGAGCUUAUACCUCCGUGGCCGCAGGUUCGAAUCCUGCCACGCCCA
This 72-nucleotide transfer RNA is filed under the name Pseudomonadota bacterium. Its description in RNAcentral is "tRNA-Ile". It matches the Rfam family "tRNA". Rfam says of the family: Transfer RNA (tRNA) molecules are approximately 80 nucleotides in length. Their secondary structure includes four short double-helical elements and three loops (D, anti-codon, and T loops). Lineage: Bacteria; Pseudomonadati; Pseudomonadota. RNAcentral also lists the same sequence under 1 other name. The record is from RNAcentral.